This 68-nucleotide transfer RNA is filed under the name Burkholderia pseudomultivorans. Its description in RNAcentral is "tRNA-Gly". Lineage: Bacteria; Pseudomonadati; Pseudomonadota; Betaproteobacteria; Burkholderiales; Burkholderiaceae. The record is from RNAcentral.
UGCCGCGCUGGUUCACGGAUGCGUUCGUUUCCCGCGAGCCGCGCCUGUUCGACGCGAUCCGCGACACC